GACGAACGCUGGCGGCGUGCUUAACACAUGCAAGUCGAACGAUGAAGCUGUGCUUGCACAGUGGAUUAGUGGCGAACGGGUGAGUAACACGUGAGUAACCUGCCCUUCACUUUGGGAUAACUCCGAGAAAUCGGGGCUAAUACCGGAUAUGACCUUGGCCCGCAUGGGUUGUGGUGGAAAGUUUUUCGGUGAGGGAUGGGCUCGCGGCCUAUCAGUUUGUUGGUGAGGUAGUGGCUCACCAAGGCGAUGACGGGUAGCCGGCCUGAGAGGGCGACCGGCCACACUGGGACUGAGACACGGCCCAG
RNAcentral lists this ribosomal RNA (305 nucleotides) under uncultured bacterium. RNAcentral describes it as "bacterial SSU rRNA". It matches the Rfam family "Bacterial small subunit ribosomal RNA", at positions 28 to 334 of the family's 1533-position model. The record is from RNAcentral.